This is a non-coding RNA of Podarcis lilfordi (Lilford's wall lizard), 1064 nucleotides long. NCBI's taxonomy places the organism in Eukaryota, Metazoa, Chordata, Lepidosauria, Squamata, Lacertidae. The record is from the annotation of a GenBank genome assembly.
CAACUGUCAUCUAGUCCAACCCCCUGCAAUAGAGGAAUCCACCAGUCAUUUGAGAGGCAUGUCUCAGGUAAUUAUAGUCUGGAUUUGUCACCUAUCCCUACUUUAAUUCAGAAGCAGAUUUAUUUGUGUAUAUACGAUUUGAGCAUAUGCAUGUGAAAAUCAGCAUGCAAAUUUAAAUAAUAAUGCUAAAUAAAUAAACUUAAUGGUUCUUUUACUCUCGCCUACAGCAACCUGGUGCCUUCCAGAUGUUUUGGACCACAACUCCUUUUAGCCCUAGCUAGCAUGGCCAACUGUUAGGUAUUAGCAGUAGCUCAGUGGUAGAGCAUCUUCUCUGCUCCUGGUUCAAUUCUCAGCAUCUCCAGGAAGGGCCGCCUGAAAUCCUGGAGAGCUGUUCCCAGUCAACGUAGGCAACACUGAAUUAGACAGACCAAUGGUCUGAGUCUGUAUAAGGCAGCUUCUGACAUUGCUUAUGUUGGGAGUCCUAGUCCACAGUAUCUGGUGUGCAGCAGCUUGGGGAAACCUGCCUUACUCCUUCUGAAGAAUAUGCUACAACAACAGCUUUCUUUGAACCCCAUGAAGAUAACCUUCCUCUCCUCACUGGUCCAUUGCCAGGGAUGUGUUUGCACGUCACUCACCAUUAUUACCAGUGGUGUACUGUACCGUCAUACAGAAGCCAUCUGAUUCUGUAGAUAAACAGCAUUAUUUGUUUUGUGCUUAUUAUUUGAUCACUUACUGCUAUGGCCCCUUUCUUUUCAUGCUUUCAAGGUUUGAAAUGUAUUAUAUAUAUAUCAGAGGUAGGCGAGGAAUCAAUAAAACAUUCAAAUGCAAACAUCUUAAAUUACAAAAAGAGAACUUCAAACAGAGAGGUGAGGAUGUUGUGAGAAGCGUUUGUUACAAUACACUUUAAAAAUGUCUGUUGGGUUCCUUGAGAACUAUGGAUUGCUUGGAGAUAUGCAUCCAGUCUCUUUCUUCUGCUUCUGGCACUUGGAAUAAGUUUGAGGGCACAUUGUGCUUUGUUCAAGUAACUGGGAAACAUAGUUAUAUUGUUGGAAAACUAAGUGGGG